This 23-nucleotide microRNA is filed under the name Ascaris suum (pig roundworm). Its description in RNAcentral is "asu-miR-5362-5p". The record is from miRBase by way of RNAcentral. Lineage: Eukaryota; Metazoa; Nematoda; Chromadorea; Rhabditida; Ascarididae.
AAAUCUCGUCCGGUAGUAUAUGC